AAAAUUUUGAUACGUUGAAGUAUUUGAACAGUAUUUUCAAAAAGAUCAAACGGUUUGUAUUUAUGACUCUCCUACAACAAGAUAUGGUUGUUUUCCCGACAGAUCCAAAAAGAUGGAUAUUCCAGACAACUUCUGCAACAAAAAAGAAAAAGUUUUGGAGUCCUCGAUGCCAGCAACACGAAGCUUUUGGCCAUGUUUAAUUGAUCUGUGUUAACGGCACGAAGCUUCAAGCUAUGUCCAAGUUUAAUGUCAAAAAUGUUGCACAAGGUUUGCCAGUUUGAACUUUCUUUAUUGAUGCCAUCGGUUUCCUGAAGAAGAAAAAAAUAGUGUGAACGACACCAAAAAAUAAAAAGGAUACAAGAUAAAGGGAUUACAAACACGAAGAGCUUUGUGUAUCCUCUGCAAUGAUUUUAUAGCUACAAAUUUGUAUUCUUCAUGUGUUUGAGAUCCACCUCAUGCCCUUUUUUAUAGAACUCAUGAGGAGAUGAUGCCUUUCCUUGGUGAACAAGAAUUAUCCUGUAACGACCCGAUCGGUUGUUUCAUGAGUUACCACUCUGUUUCUCCCAUUUCUACUUCUUUAUGUGUUGUUCAGCUUUAUUUCAUCGUAUCGUGUCGAUUGGUUCGGGAUUGGAGUAGUUUUAGAGUGUUAUGAGACACUUAGUCUCUUUUGAGUAAGCUUAAGUUGAAAAAGUCAAUCAGAUGUUGACUUAUGUGAAAAGGUCUCAGAUGUGAAUUUUGAUGGUUCGGAUAGAUUCGUUAGGUUAUUUGGGACUUAAGAGCGUGAUCAGAAUGUAUUUUGGAGGUCCAUGGUAGAUUUAGGCUUGCAUUGACGGAAUUGGAAUUUUGGCAUUUUCCGGUUGGUAGUGAAAAUUUUGAUAUCGGGGUCGGAAUGGAAUUUCUAAAAUUAGAGUAGGUCCAUUGUAUCAUAUGUGACAUGUGUACAAAAUUGCAGGUCAUUCAGAUGAGGUUUGAUAGACUUUUUGACCAUUUGCAGGAUUCAAAAGUUUUGUUUGUACAUCCCAUCUUUUCGUACGUGAGAGUACAUCCUAAGCCAAUUGAUGUAAUCUCGGAGAUGAGAUCAAUUUUUAAAGUACAUAAUGUAAUUUCAUCAUGUUAUCUUGGAGGUUACAAAUCUUUAAGAUCAUGAAUAACAAGUACCAAAAGGGUUGGAAAGCUUAGACGCUAAAUGAAUUGAAGAAAAUAAGUUUCGUCGAAAGUCGACAAGUUUGGAAUGUUAUAACAUAUACUUUGGGGGAGAGACUAUGGUGAUUAAUAUCAUUAGGAGGUUAAGUUAGGAGUUAUUUUAUUCGUGUGUUAUGUUUUUAAGUCAAGCAAGUUGUGGAACAAAAAGUUGGCAAAGGUCAUCACAAGUUGCAUUCAUAAUGUCCUGAAAUUUAGGUCAAAUGUAGCUAUACUUUUCUCUCAAUAUACUUGGAAUCAAGGGAUGAUAUGCAUAUCAAAUUGAAUAUCUAUGACUCUCUUUUCCAACUCAUUAAACUCUUUAUAAAUACAACAUUGGAGUAGAGAGAUAUAUGCAUUUUUGCGAGUUUGCGCAGGCUGCAAGGUGACAAGUAGGUGUGUCACCUACUUGGUUAAAUGAGAGCCCAAAAAAGGCAAUUUUUGGUCAUCCAAAGAGACAAUUUAAGGGAUUAUCUCCUGCAAUAUAAACCUCAUUAUAUAUCACAAAUAACCAGGCCUAAACCCCUGCAAACUUCCUCCCAAAUAUUACCCAUAAAUCCUAAUUGAUUUUCUCUCCCUUUCAAAUUCUAAUUGGGAGUAAAACCUAGAGUUUGAAGAACCAAGAUAAGGGCUGAGUUAUCCAACAAAUAAGGUAAGUUUACUGCUCUCUUUAAUCUAUUUUUUCUGCUGUAGGUUAAUGGUACGUCAUUCUAUACUUGUAAGAACUCACGGGACGGUGAUCGGAAGCCUUGAGUUUGAAUUAUUCACUUGUAGUGUGCUGUUUUGUGGACUGUUUUGUAUUGCUGUUGGGCUGCAUGUUUUACUACUGUUUUGUGGAGUUUUAGAGGAGUAAUGGUGUGGAUAAACACCAUAUAUAUGUAGGGUGGUGGUCUGGUCGUUCGCUGUAACAUUUCUGGGUCGUUUGACACUAAUACGGUAGUCGAUUUAUAUAUGAAAAGAUUGGAGUGUAUUGGGCUAUUUUGUUGUAUUUGAUGGUGUAAUAUAAGGCUGGAAAAUGAUGUAUAUAUGUUGUUAUUGUUGUGUUAUUGUGUUGUUGGAGUUAUCUUGAAUUUGGAGGAAGUAAGGAUUACAGGGGAGAUGUUGCCCGUUUUUAUACAAAAUAAUCUUGUCGUCCGUUGUGCAAUAGUUGUACCUUUCAUAACUUGAUGAUAGUAUUAUUAUCAUUGUUUUAGAUUAAGGUGCAAAGAGGAGAGUUCAACUUGGUGAUUGGAAAGAUUGUGAUAAGGUAUGUUAAGGCACUUCCUUCUUUCUUUUGGCAUGAUCUAGAGUGAAAUGAAUACGCUAUUCGAUAAUAGGCUAGUAAAUAAGAAGAAAAAAAAUCAAACAUGAUAAAAACCAUAGGAUUCGAUAAUAGUCGACAUCGCGAGAUCGUCAGAGACCAUGUUCCAACAAAAAUAGAAUGGACAAUGGAAGAAUAACCUUUAAAGGUUAUUCAAUAAGACGCUUCCCUAAAGUAAGCAAUGUGAGCAAAGUUAUGCUUAAGGGACUAAGUGUGGCAGUUACAUUACGUGUUACCCUCGCGCGUAAGGAAUUCAGUUAUCCCUAGUAGAGAAGGGUUACCUCAAGGCGAGUAAGAGUUAGUGAAGAUGUGAAAAGAAGUCAAAGAUGAAGAGGUAAACCAUAUAUAGGUAAAUCUUUAUAGAAUUAAAUGCUAGUACUCCCUUAAAAGGGGGAAUAUGGUGUGAUAUGGUAUUAAGUCGGAGUUAAGCGGUUCAGGUAACUAUGGAAUGGUAAAGGAAAAAUAUGGUAAAAGGGAGAAAGGGAUGAUGUUGCAUUUGUUCAGUUCCUACAGAUAUGUUGUGACUCCAGAACAUUAUACAGGCACGACACCGGGGAGAGGCAGUAAAAGUUUCUGGCCAGAAUGUUAUUGAUACUAAGUGCGAAUGAACACUUGAUACAUAAAGAUCCAGCGCGAGAGGUAAGUUAACACUAAGUAAACAACCCAAGAGAGAUUAUGCAGAAUAUAUAUAUGAGAAUGGACCAAUGAGUAAUUAGUAGUUGAUUCAGUAAGAGUCCAGUUAUGGCUAGACAAGAGGUCACAAAUAAAUCAAUAGAUCAUGCAAGAUAAAUGUAGUGAACUUCAACAUAGUAAAUUCAGUCUCGCAGAUAUAAUGACAUCGUUAUCCUUGAGAAAUAUUUGGAUAGGAUUUGGGGUGGUUAAAAGUACCGUAUGGGUGUUACGGAGAUAAAAGAAAGUUUCACUAGGGAGAUAGCAAAAAUUUCAGUUCAGAAGCAACUCUACGAUCACAAGGGUGCGGAGGUAGCUAACAAGGGAUAAUAAUAGGCAAGUAAGAACAACAAAAAAAUUCAUUAGGGUAUACCACGUAAUGAGCUUGCAGCUUUAUAGGAGUCAGAGGAUCUCCCUUAAGUAAUAAAAUGAAAAACUAGAUGAGGAUAAAGGAUGAAGACUUCAACCUAAGCAUAGUAACUUGAAGAAGAAAUGGUUUUCUAACGUUAGUCUCACUACAAUAUUGUAUACACUCCAUAAGAAAGUGGUACCUAUCGUGGCUAAUGAAUGGGAAGUAAAAAUCAAAAGCUGAUAUUUGAGAUCAUAUGAGUUAAAAGAAAUUCAAGUAUUUGCAGGUACUAAGAUAACCUAAGCAUUCAUGCAGCAAGUGGCAGAACGACAAGAAAAAGUAAUUUCCUAUGUUUAAAGGAAACUGAGAAGGCAUGAAAGGAAAUCUAUGGUGCUAGCAAGUUAAAGGAAGGUUGUGAAUAGUAUAAAUAGAUAUAUGUAGGUCGCAAGCUAAAGUAUCGUAGAGUGACAAGGUUUUAGGUAGAUAGGAGUAAGGAUAAGAAAAGACGAGGGAGAAGGUGACAAGCAUAGGUGAGUCCUCGGGAUUAAACCCAUCACAACAAGAGAGCUGAUGGCUUGUGUAACUUAUUGAAAGCUCGAUACAGCCUGAAUGAACUCAGAGGAGUGUAAGACUCGGUGCAUUUAGAAGAGAUGGAAUGCUGCCCUGGUAGUAGAAUAAGGGUGUAAUUGUGAUAAAUGAUAAAAGAAUAACGUUUAGGCCUUCGAUUGAGUAAUGGUUUAAAGAGGAUGGAUUUCAUGAAUUGCACGGGAUUAGAAUACCCCAUAAGAUGAAUCAUGUUGGGAUGCUAUGAAAUAUAGUUAUUGAAGUAUAGUAUUGCCCCUAGGUGGAUCGAGCAAAGCACUUUAGAUGUUCCCCGAUGAGAUGUGAGCCCCACUGACAAUGUAUUACGCAAGAGGUUUCAAGUUAUGCAUGGUAGAUUAAGAUCAACAUUAAGAUGGAUCAACAAUGGAUGGAUAAAUGUUAAAAAGUAUGAGAGGAGAUUAGGUUGUCAUUCUUAAGAUGAACAAUAAUAAAGAGGUAUUAGUGGACUUAGAGUUAUACGUACAGAAUAAGCGGUAGGAGAGUAACUUGGAGUUGGGUGGCAGACCUCGGUAAUACUAAACUAAAGUAAGAGUUAUGGUAUAGUAUGACCUACCUAGUUGUAGUAAAGCCAUAAACAUAGAUAAUUGAGGCUAUGAAGCAUGAUAUAGCAAAAUUCGUAAGUUCGACAAAGUACCGAGCGAAGAACUUUAGUACGCCUAUAGAUGCCCAAAGGGGUAGCUUGUCAUAGUACUAUAUAUUUUCACUAAGUGAGGCCUGGAUAUUGGAUAAAAGAUGGGGGAAGGAGAGAAGAGUCGUAUAGGGGCACAUAUAAGGUCAGAAUUAUACAGGAUGUAUGAAAGAAGGUAGAAACAGUUUUAGAGANNNNNNNNNNNNNNNNNNNNNNNNNUAUUUUUCACUAAGUGAGGCCUGGAUAUUGGAUAAAAGAUGGGGGAAGGAGAGAAGAGUCGUAUAGGGGCACAUAUAAGGUCAGAAUUAUACAGGAUGUAUGAAAGAAGGUAGAAACAGUUUUGAGAUUGGAAGAAUUCCGACCACAUGUUGUGGUAUGAGAAAGAGGCCUAAAGGGGGGAAUACCCUGGCCUUUGGAUUUAUUUACAGAACAGUUUACUAGAUGUCAAGGACAAUAUUAAAGUAUUCGUAAGAGUUACUGGUUAUGAGACUGAUAAAUGCAUCAGUCAACAUUCGAGGACGAAUAUUCCAAAAGGGGGGAAUGAUGUUACAUCGCAUGUUUUCGUAAGUGAGAGUACGUCAUAAGACAAUUGAUGUAAGCUCAGAGAUGAGAUCAAUUUUUAAAGUACAUAAUAUAAUUUCAUCAUGUUAUCUUGGAGGUUACAAAUCUUUAAGAUCAUGAAUAACAAGUAUCAAAAGGGUUGGAAAGCUUAGAUGUUAAAUGAAUUGAAGAAAAUACAUUUUGUCGAAAGUCGACAAGUUUGGAAUGUUAUAACAUAUACUUUGAGGGCUAUACUAGUGUUAUUAGCAUGAUGUGUAGGUUAAGUUAUGAGUUAUUUUAUUCAUGUGUUAUGUUUUCAAGUCGAGCAAGUUGUGGAACAAAAAGUUGGUAAAGGUCAUGACAAGUUGCAUUCAUAAUGUGCUGAAAUUUAGGUCAAAUAUAGCUGCACUUUUCUCCCAAUAUACUUGGAAUCAAGGGAUGAUCUGCAUAUCAAAUUGAAGAUAUAUGAGUUAGUCUAUAAAUUAUUAAACCGUUUAUCAAUACAACAUUGGAGUAGAGAGAUAUAUGCAUUUUUGCGAGACUGCGCAAGCUGCUAGGUGACAAGUAGGUAUGUCACCUACUUGGUUAAAUGAGAGCCCAAAAAAAGGCAAUUUCGGGUCAUCCAAAGAGACGAUUUAAGGGCUUAUCUCCUGAAAUAUAAACCUCAUUAUAUAUCACAAAUAACCAUACCAAAACCUCUGCAAAAUUCCUCCCAAAAAUUACCCACAAAUCCUAAUUGUUUUUCCCUCCCUUUCAAGUUCUAAUUGGGAGUAAAACCUAGAGUUUGAAGAACCAAGAUAAUGGAUAAGUUCUCAAAUAAAUAAGGUAAGUUUACUGCUAUGUUUCAUCCAUUUUUUAUGCUGUAGUUUCAUGGUAAGUCGUUCUAUACUUGUAAGAGCUCACGGGGCGGUGAUCGGAAGCUGUGAGUUCGAGUUAUUCACUUGUAGCGGGCUGUUUUGUGGACUAUUUUGUAUUGCUAUUGGGAUGCGUGUUUUACUACUGUUUUGUGGAGUUUUUGAGGAGUAAGGUUGUGUAUAAACACCAUAUAGAUAUAGGUUUGUGGUUUGAUCGUUCGUCGUAACACUAUCGGGUCGUUCAACACUAGUACGGUGGUCGUUUUAUGUAUGAAAAGAUUGGAGUGUAUUGAGUUGUUUUGUAGUAUUUGAUGGUGUAAUAUAAGGCUAGAAAAUAAUGUAUAUAUGUUGUUAUUAUUGUGUUAUUAUGUUGUUGGAGUUAUCUUGAAUUUGGAGGAAGUAAGGAUUAUAGGGGGAAUGCUGCCCGUUUUUAUACAAAAUAAGCUUGUCAUCCAUUCUGCGAUAGUUCUACCUUUCAUAACUUGAUAAUAGUAUUAUUAUCAUUGUUUUAGAUUAAGGUGCAAAGAGGCAAGUUCAACUUUGUGAUUGGAAAGAUUGUGAUAAGGUAUGUUAAGGCACUUCCUUCUUUCUUUUGGCAUGAUCUAAAGUGAAAUAAAUAUGCUAUUUCAUAACGCAUCUACUCCUAGCAACUAAGGUUGUCCAUAUAGUUCUUUCCUUAUGAAGUUAUUCUAAGCAAGUGUGUAUGAUCCUUGAAUCUUACUAAGGUUUAUAUUGAGGGUAUGGAUGUCCAUAAUGUUGAUCAAAAGCGUAACGACCUUACGUCACUCCGAGAGGUUUAGAACAUGAUUUCAUAUGUCCAGCAUGCAUUAUGUAUAGUAUCUUUUUUACUCUACCGAGCCGCACUAUAGUCGGCCGGGUAAAACACCUAUUGUGCAACCAUUGAUCAUUUGGGUUUACCGAGCUCCACAUGGACGGGUACGAUUCUACUGAGCCUUAUGAUGGUCGGGUACGUUUUUACCGAGUCCUCUUUGAAGCCGGAUAAGAUAUGAUGAUGAUGAUGCCCAUAGAGGCAUAUGUAUUUAAAAAGUUUAUGUAUAUAUAUGUAUUAUGCAUUUCAUGUCAGUAGCCCCCAAAGUCACUCGGAUGUUACAGGUUGUAUCUCCUCUAUCUGUCUUUACAUUACUGUUCUUAUUUAUGCUUUCCUGCCUUACAUACUCGGUACUUUAUUCGUACUGACGUCCCUUUUGCCUGGGGAUGCUGCAUUUCAUGCCCAAAAGUCCCGAUUGAUAGAUUGACAGUCCUCCAAGUAGGCUAUCAGCUCAGUGGAAGGUGUUGGUGCACUUCACUUACUCCGGAGUUGCCUAUUUUGAUAACCUGUAUGAGUCCACCAAACUAUGGAGUGUCUGGUCCUGUAUGAGGCUAAUAUAUAGAAAGCAGUAAAGACUGAAUGUAAAGAAGGUAAGAGAUUUUCAACGUGGAAAAAUCUCACACAAGGGGAUCAAAAAACCACGACCUACUCUUAUAGGCUUUUAACUCAACUAACUUGUAAUCUACUUAUUACAAGCCAUUUUACAAUACUUCUGAUUGCAAAGGCUUCAAACUAACUUGUGAUGCAACCACCACAAGCCACUCUCUAACUCUCCUAGUUACAGAGGAUUUGACUUAUGACUAUUCUUAGUCACAACAUAAACUCUAAAGUUUACGAAUUUGGUUUGUUCCUAAAACAGUGCUUCUAAGAAAGCAAACUAGGAAUUACAAUAUAAAGCAAUUACCAAGAUUACAACUCAACUAUAGAUGUACAUAAGACUCGUUUAGAAACUGAUCAUUAAUGGAGUUAUCUUCUUGUUCUUGACAGACCAGUGACUUCAAUGACUGAUGAAUGCUUCUUCUUCUUGAGAGAAUAUCACUGAAUGGACAAAUCCUGGUUUAUCUUGCACCAGGUUGUUUUAUCACAAAAGAUAUCAUAAUAGGUAGUGAUGUCAACUCGUGGUGUACGUUUUCCCAGAGAGAAGUGAUUGAUGCACAAUCUGUACAGCCACUACUGGGCAGUUGCAUUCCAGUUGGAUAGUGGACUUUGUACUUCAGUCAGAACACACCAACAGACCAGGUCCUCGUUGUGUCUCGCUUCUGUAACAAUUGCCAGAUGGUCACUUUCUUCUGUCAUAUUACAUUUGUGCACUUGACCUGUAUUUCUGUCAGAGAACCUAUAAGGAGCAGGUCCUUGUUGUGUUCCUCUUUAUAUUGAUUGUGUAACAGUCACUGACUUGUUUGUGCCAGAGAACCCUAAGAGACCAGGGCACCAGGUCAUUCCUAUUGUUGACUUGUUCAUAUGAGAUGUAUAACUUGUGCGACAAGGUUCUCUAUCUGGUUCUUCAUAACAAGUUUGUUAUAUCAUCAAAACAUAAGUAGUAUAAGGCUAAGACAUUGAAAACCCAUCAAUUUCCCUCUUUUUGAUGAUGACAAACUUAAAGAUGAAAAGCAUUUGUUUAGAUCAGGAUUAACAAUUAAUUAAUCGGAUGAGUCAGCAGUUCCCCCUUAAUCUUAGAUCUCCCUUCUUUGAUCAUCACAGACAUAGCACAUCACAGGCAUAGUAGAGUUCCCCAUUAAUCUUCUCAGCCCCAUCCCCAUCUAUUAUUGUCAGCCCCAUCCCAUCUAUUAUAUUUCCCCCUUUUGGCAUCAUUAAAAAGACCAACCAGUAUGACAAAGAGCAAACUUAGUUAAUAAGCAUAAAGAAGUCUAACACAGCUAGCCCAUGCCACAUAUGUGCACACAAUCAUGACAGAAAAGAGAAGCCAGAGGAACACAAUGUUGUACAUGCAAAAAAGGGGAGUUGUUUCAUUAAUGUUUACAUUGGACUGAGCAAGUCAGGAGCAGCAAUGGUUAAGUUCAACAUGCCAUCACAAAAUAAAAAAAAGUAAACCAAAGUAAAAUAGCAGCCAUGGGAAGUUGGAGCAAAAAUAGCUAGACACUAGGGAGAAUCCUAGGGAGCACUAAGGGAAGGAGGCUUGGAGGAAGAGACAACAAUGGUUUUGAGAACCAGGUCCAGUCUAGCAUUUGCGGCCAUUUGUUCUUCAAGUAGUUGAGCCCGAAGUCUCUCAUUUUCCUUUCUCAGUUUGGCAACCUCCUCGUAUACAGAAUUAGGUCCCUUAGCUGCUUGGCUAAGCUGAGUUUCUAGAAUGGCAUUUCGAGCCCUCAGCAUUCGUAUUUCCUCAGAGGCUAUAUUUUGGGCAUUUAUGAGCUGAGAAAUGGUCGAGAUGUUUCCACCAACUUUUUCUAUGCAUUCAUAUUCUUCUAGAGUGGUCUUAGAAAAUGUUUUCUUGCGUGUGCCCAUUCUAGGAUUUCCCAAGGGAACCUUAUAGAAUCUGAACACUUGAGUGAGGAGAAAGCCAUAAGGUAACCCAUGAUUUCCACCCUUAAAAUUUGCCACCUUCUGCAUGUGAUCUAUCAUGAUUGCUGGUAGGUUGAUUGGUACAAACUCAUCAAGUGCUUCCAUCAGGACCAAAUGUGACUUUGUGGCAAUGGAACGUCUCUUAGAGCGGGGUAGGAGUACUUUAUUGAACAGUUCAAAGGGAAGCUGGUACUCAGGAAGUAACACUUUCUUAUGGACCUGUUCCCCUUGUUGAAUAGUUUUCUCUUUCAUGAUGGCUCUCCGAAAAUUUACUCUACAAACAUCCUUAAGUGAGGACACACCUUCACACGGAAUUUUUAGAAUUCUUCCCAAUGUUGAAGUGUCGAGUACAAUAUCCACUCCUUUUACAAGUGCGCAGAUGUGGUCCCCUUCAACAGUGAAGAGAGAUGAGUAGAAGGUUUGCACUGCAUCUUCAUACAUCAGAGGCAUGCUCCCUUCAAAUAGGUGUUCACAUUAUUGAAAUUCCACAAUCUCCAGAAUUUGUCUCAUGCUAGCCAUUUCUGAAAUUACUGGAUCAAAAGUUCGGCCCCACAACACUUUUUGAGUUCUUAAUCUUUGCUACCACUAAACACCAUCAUAGGCUAAAGACUUUGAUAGACUUGGUUCAUUAAAGGUUUCCCUUUCCUGGUUUCUGGUUCCUUCCACACUCUCUUUUCCAUCUUGUUACCUCUAUAGUUUUGUCCUUUGACAUGGCUAUCUCAGUUUUACUCCGUUUAGACUUGCUGAUGUGCUUUCUAGAUGACCCUUUCUAUUCCUCAAUAUUUUCCUUAAUUAUCAUAGACUGUUGCACUAAAGAACCAGGUUCUCUAGAAGCAUCUUUGUCUAUCUGAUUUACUGGCACACUCUUGAUGAAAUCUUUUGGAUUUAUUUUCCUCUUUUUCCUUAUCUUGACACUUCUCUUACUUUUCUGCAUUGAAGAUUCAAAAUUCUCUUGUUGUAGUGACCUGGUGAUGGGUGAUUUUGAGGAAGACUCUAAGAGCUUGGAAUGAACAGGAGAUGCAGGAGUGAGUUUGCAUGGGAGUGAAUCAGGUUCAUCAGAAGGCCUUUAUGAAAAUAUCCCAUGAGCCAAGGACUCGAGGAGUAUUGUGGUUCUUACAUCUCCUAGGAAUGUUAAGUCUUCACCUUGAUACUCUGAGGAGAGAUAAGCUCUUUCAUCCAUCAGACUCUUAGCAGAUAUAACCAUAAUGUUAUGAGUUGCUUCCUUUUCUGGUGACUCCUUGAGAGUCAUUGAGUCUAACAUAGAGGUGUUAAGGUACUGGUCAGAAUCAUCCUCAGGGGCUUCUAAUACUCGAGGAGUGAGACUUCUUGUGUGGUCUUUGAUGAGAUCGUAAUAUUUACUAGACAUAUGAUUCUCAAAAUAGUGGUAAAUAAGGUUUAUCAUAAAUAGAAAGAUUGUAGGGGUGGAGAAGGACCCAGAAGUGUGUAAGGCGGUAGAAAGAGUGAAAGAGUGAAGCUUUGGGAAUGAUUUCAAGGGUGAUAAAGAGGUGUGAACAAUGUUAAUGGAGGGGGAAUGAGAAUAUUGUUCAAUUGAGAUUGGAUGAGUACUUAGUAUAUGUUAAGAUAGGAAGGAAUAAAUAGGAGAGGAUCCUAGCUAUACACAGAGGAUGAAGGUUCAUAACUUGCUGUGAGAAAGAGGGGAAGUUUCUUAUUGGGAAAAGAACUAAUGAUGAGUGGGGAGAGAAACAGGUUCUGAAAUGUCUAAAAAUGGUGGUAGAUUUGUGGGGAAGUGUUACCGUGCAUAGGGGAUGAAGGAUUUGACUGACAAGACAUGACACUCAGAUGUUGAAAAGUUGAAUGACGUGGCAGCUAAAUUACAAAAUGUUUAUAUGGUUUUUUUUGUUUAUAAAGGGCAUGCAAAAAUUAAGCACAUUACUACUAACCUUAGAUACAGGAACCUGAUGCCAAAGCAAUCUUUUGAACAAGAUUUUAGCAGCUCCCCUCCUUGCUGUUCAUAACUGUGCCUUUGGCUUCUAUGAUCGUCAUGUGUGUUUACCUACAACGGUAUUGAUGUGAGUUAGGCUUGAUCAGAAAACACUUUAGCUACAUUUACCUGAAGGUGUCUUACACAGCCAACAGAUGUAGAAUCGGGUUCUUCAUUAGAUUUUGUGACCCCGUCUUCACCUUGAUUUAUCCGAAAUAUUCUCUACUUGAGGCUUUGAUGCAGGUAUCUGGAGUUUGGUCUUCUAUUAUGCAAUCCUUUCCACUGAUCAAUCCCUUCUUCAUACUGACCCUCAGAAGAGGAUCUCACCCUUCAAUGUGUUUGCAAUUUCUCUCCACUUGUUUAUGAGGUCAUUUCGUCUUGCUUCCUUGUCUUCCAGAAGAUAAUGCAUGAAUCAUGAUAGGUGCAAUUUAGUUUCCCAACUUGAGGUAGAAGUUGGUUGGGAAGAGACAUAUGGAGGUCGGUUUGAUUUCCUCACACUUUGUGUUCUACUGCUUGUGUAGUGUCAUGAGCUGCAUCUUUUCUUCUUCCUUCAGCUUCAGUGGUGGCAAAUGAUGUACCGGGUUCUUUGUGAGACAUGGAAGAUGAUGUUGCGUUGUCUCUUGCCAGUCUCUUUACAUCUUGCUCACUCUAUCACCCUCCUGAUUUGAAGCCUUAGAUAUUUCCCAAAGGCAGGAUUGGUUCAUCAUAUUAAUCCCCACGGUUUCUUCAUUGACAGAAGGAGAGUGUUUUGUUGAAUACCCCAUGAGCACUUCCUGCCAUUUUGUGCUUCCUUUGUUGGAGACCCUGUGGCCUUGUUUUGUGGAUUGCACUCUAGAAGAAGUCCUUAGCUCGUCCUUUUGUAUUGAGCUCCCCAAGCUGACCCUUCCUAUUGUCAAGCACAAGGCAUUUUCUUCCAAUUUGGCAACUCCUGGUGAGUUUUGAUUUAGGAGGCACCUGGUCCGACACCUGUUCUCAAAGUAGAGAGCAAUGUUAAUUUCUUUUGUCCGGAGUUUCUUGGCGAUUCCCUAGACGAUGAGCAUAGCAAUCUCCAGAUUCGUUCUUUCUUUCUGCUAUGCCAUUUUGGGUAUGCAAUUCUGGAGUUUGAGAAAUCUCCUCCUCCUUCAUCAAUUUUGUGAGCUCAUGUCCAGGUCACGCUUGAGUUUGGUAGACUAUGGACCAAGUUCGGCUGAGUUAGUUUCUUCGGAGGUGAGAAAUUUGCAUGUACUGCUCCUUCAUCCCAUUGUUGUGAUUUCACUCAUCUCAUUCUCCAAUUGAUGAUUAGCAGGAGUGUCUGUUCUUGCUUUCUUUGUUCAUUGAUACUACUUGGCUAGUUAUCAGAUUGAUGACAACACCUUUUAGGCCAUUCACCUAGUGCUUGUCUCUACUCAAAUGCCAAGAAGAACCUGUUCUGCUUUUUUAUUCACUGAGAAUGUACCCUUUAUUUUCUUUUCGAGGAUACAUUCCCUUCCUGCAAGGCUUUUAGUGAGAAAAAAUUCAUGAUGUUGCGUGCUUUAAGCAUCCACUGUCCACAGUCCAUCGCAGUCUGCUUCCUCUCACUACUCCCUGCACAUACACAUCAGGGGUUAGAUUUAGGAACCCAAAUUAGUUUGGGUCCCUUUUUACUAUAAAAAGGAUGAAUGAGGGAUUUCUUGGUCCACGCAGGCAGCAUCCACUUUUUGCGAGUGGUACCUGGUCCUUUGCUAGUAGUCACUCUAUGAGUAAAUGCUUUGUUCUUCUGAGCACACUGAACCCUGACCUGUCAAUUUUCUUUAAAAUGCCCAUUAUUUCCGUAGUGGGUAGAUAGCCAGUUAUCAGGUACAGUGACAUACUUUCUGUGUGGGUUGUAGGGAGUUUUAUCCCUUUGAAACCUGAUGCCCUGCUUGUUCCCACUAUUGUUGAGAUACAUUGUAGUGACUGCAUCUGAGGACCAGGUCUAUUUCAAGGUUUUUUCAAGAUCAUUUCUUACUUUCUCCAGCUCAGCUUGGAGUUGCUGAUUUCUCUCGAGUUCUUUGCAAAGACUGGUUUUUACAAUAGUUAACUCCUUUUCGAGCAAGAUGUGCGACUCACUGGCUACUUUCUUUCCUUUCCCAAGACUUACAUUUAUAUGUUCUCUAUUGAGUCCCUCAAUGGUUUCCUCUAGAUCAGCGCAUAUCACUAAAAAGUCAUCCCUUUCCUCUUCAGUGGAGGUAAUUUUUUCUUCUAAGGACUGUUUCUUAUUGCUAAGAUCAUCUAUUGUUUCUUUUAGAUCAACAACUACUACCAUCAGGUCGUCUCUCUCAUUCUCCACACUGGCUAUUUUUUCAUUCAGGGCCUUCUUUUCUAAUUCAAGAUUAGCUAUGGUUUCAUUUAAGUCCGCUACAUAGACCACUAGAUCAUCUCUAGAUUGUUCGGUCUCCCCUAGUUCUACAGUCAAGAUCUCCCUAUCAUUUACAAGACUAUAAUAAGCGUCAAUUAGGACAUUUGAUAAGGACCUUAGUGUCACGCCCCAAAAUCCGAGGAGCGCGACCGGUGCUCAAUCGAGUAAGCUUGACUGAGCAAACCUGCUAGAUUCCAUUCUACCCAAACCAACUCAUGAUUAAAUAGGAGAUGGACUCCAUUAAUCAGAUUUAGUAAGUAUUUCAUUAACAACUUCCAUUUCAUUUCCAUUAGCAACUUAAGUCAUAAUUAUCAAAAUAUUACAAGUUUUAUAAAUCCUUGCCAAACAUCAAUAUUUCUACUUUAAUUCUCAAUACCAAAUACCACCCACAACCUGUCUACGGAGCCUCUAAAUAUAACUGAAUAAUAAUAUGGAAAUGCCGGUAAUAAGGCUCUGGCUAUACCUCUAAAUACAAAGUACAUGAUAAACAACGGUACAUGACCCCGAAAUGAAGUGGGGCUCACUAAAUCAGUUGAAAGGAAGAUGCGUCACAAGCUGCGACUAACACUACCUACUAUGGAACCACCUACAUACAUUUAAAGAUAUAGCGCCCCUGGUAAAAGGAACAUUAGUGCCAUCGGAUAGCACUAGUAUGUAUAACUAAACACCAUCUAGUUAGAAAGAACUAUCAUACAAGAGAAAAGAAAUCAUAAACACAUUCUCAUUAGAAAGAACUAUCAAACAAGAAUAAAGAAAUCAUAAAGGUCAAUCAAAAGCUUUAAAAAUCACCACAUCAUCAAAUCAAAGAAUCAUAUGACUUUCACAUAAUUCCCAUAGCUUUAGGUUGGGGCACUUGAUAUUGUUCAUCAUCAUUCAUAAUACCACCACUUUCUUGAGCGGAGUCCGAUCACGACUCGAUUGGCUAGUUUGCCUCAUUUGAGACAUAUACCUCAAUCACAAUCUCAUUUUCCUUUUUUCCAAAAUUCAUUCAUAAUACCAUCGCUAUCUUGAGCAGAGUCCGAUCUCGGCCUGAUCGGCUAGGCCGCCUUGCCAAGGCGUUGUUCCCUUCUCAUUAAUCAACUCAUUUCAAUAUUUAUUUCACAUAUAUCAAUUCAUAGGCACUUGGGGCCACAAUUAUCGCAUCAUACUUGGCACUAGGCCACAUUUCAUAACUUAAUCUCUUCUUUCCCACAUUUCACAUCAUUUCCACAUAUUUCACAUCAAUAUCAAUUUCAACAACAAGCCAUUCAAUUCAAAUGUCAAGUACACAUGAGAGGAAUCAUGAACCAUAGGCAUAUACAAUAUUUCAGAAAUCAUACACCUCAAGUUUAUUAAUAAUGGAACUUUAAACACAAUGGAUUUUUCCAAAAAAAAAGAGGGGAUACACCAAACCACAAUAAAAACACACAUUAAAGGCAUAAGCAAGAAAUUAAACCAAUUUUUCUUGAAUUACUCUUUUCCAAUCAUGACAAUAUACAAUUUCAACAUCGAAAUAUGUAACAACUCGGAUCACAUUGGAUGUACUCUUAAGGCAAGACAUUAUCUCGAACAGCCACUUAUGGCAUAAAUUAUGUAUAAAGCCUUUAGGGCACUUUAUUAUUAAAGUCAUUUAUGGAAAGAAAAGUUGAGGCUCAUUUCAUAAUCUGUUUCAUAUUUUCUCAUGUCAUAGGCAUCACCAGGUACAAUUAUAAUUCAAGUUCUCGAGACAUUAGCCACACUCUUUUUCCCAAAUUCAUUUGAUUACUUCAAAAAUCUCUAUACAUAGAUGGUUUCACAUAGUUUGGCAUAAUAUAUGCAGCUCCAAUCUCAAUUUAAGGUCUUAGCAUUUCAAUACAUGAUUCAUAUUCCUUGCACCCUUUUUAAGUUAUCAAGAAUAGCGCAUUGAUCAUACUGGAAUGCAUCUUUCACAAAUAUAGGGUCACAACACCAAUUCAUGUAAAGUAUCAAUCAAAGCAAGAAUCCAAAGUUCAGUCUUACCACAUUUACACAAGCAUCAAUAGAGCUCAAUUUCUAAAAGACAGGGUUUUAGCCAUACAUACCUUGUUUAAGCUUUCCUUAAGUUACUACAACAUUCCGAAAAUUCUAGCAAUUCUAAUCUACUUUGAGACAUAACAAAAUUGAACACAAAUUAGGGAGGUAUUCAUGGUUUCAGCUCAUUUGAGCAUUUUAUCAAAUACUAGUUGAGCAUCUUGAUUUCAAAUCUCUUUUACAAGGUUUCCUUCAUUCCCCAAUCCAAUCUUUACUUAUUUAUGUUCAAUGAUCUUCCCAUAAACCUAUUUUGUACAUGCAUGUAUACAUAAUACUAAUAGACCCAAGAAUCAUACCUCAAUAACCCAUCUUAUACCCCAAACUCGAAAUUAAAGUCUAAUGUAUAAAAACUUACCUCUUGGAUGAAGAACAUGUGAUUGAGUUCUUUGAUUCUUGAAGACUUGAGCAAGAUUUGGAUAAUUAUGAAGCUAGGUCUCUCCUUUAUCUCUCUAUAUGCUCUCAUAUCUCUCUAAAAUCAGUAAGAAAUGACCCCAAAAUGAACCCCAAAGCCUAUAUAUUGAAAUGGGGUCGGGUUAUAAAAUAGGAUGAUUAACCCUCCGAAGUCGGGUCUGCGAUCGUAUAAUGGACCACUGAACGGGUAUGCUGGCCGCAAACGUGUCGCAAAACUCGGUGUCCAAAACUGGGCUACACUGGUCCAGUUUGCGAUCGCAAAUCGAGUAUGCGGACCGCAUAAUGGUUUUUGCGAUCGCAUAUCUAACACAGGAUCGCAUUUUUCCAGCCUUUGGUAAUUUGACUAUAACUUUGUGUAGGAAUGUCCAAAUGACAAACGGUUUGAAAAGUUGGAAACUAGACCCAUAGACCUUUCCAAUGAUAGGUUGUUCAUCACAUAAAACCUUAUAUAUAUUAUAUAUGGUCGUUCAAAGUGGGGACUUGUGCGAACAUUUGAAAUCUUAGCCUAUCAUGAAGUUUUGCAAUUUGACUUAGCCUUAGGCUUUUUCUUGGGCCCCAAAUUACUUAACACAAGAAUUGUACACUUAUUUACCAAGUCCAAUUGAUGUCCACCAUGUUAAUAGCACAUAAAAUAUUAUAAUUAGCCUAUGUGGCACCAUAAAAUCCUAGUUUACUUAGCGAAAUUUUUCUAGGGCCUUACACUUAGUUUCUUAGAGGAAUAGAAUUUCAGAUUUCUCUGAACAUCCUUGAAUUUUACCUCAUCAUCUUCAUAUUCUUCAUUAUCAUCAUCUGACUGAUCCAUCAGUGCGAAUAGUGAAUUAUACUUUGUUGUUUCAGUUUCCACUGCCAUCAUGGAACCGUUUUUUGCAUUUGAUUCCUUUUUGGAUUCACUUGAGGAGUCUCCCCAAGCAGAAAGAGCCUGCUUAACGAUAUUGUUCCUUUUUCCUGCUUUGUCAGGAUUUUGCUUGUACUACUCCUGCUUUGCGAGAGGGCAGUCUUUGAUGAAAUGCCCUAGCUUUCCACAUCCAUGACAGAGAUCAUUGUUCCUUGUUUUACUUGAACCGCCCCACUUUGGUAUGCCACCAUUUCUCCGAACCAUUUUUUGAAAUCUCUUAGUAAGAUAGGCCAUGUCACUAUCUUCUUCACUUGAGUCACUCCUUUCAGCCUUAAGCACCAGGUUUUUUUCCUUCUUAGGCUAUCUUCUUUCAUUGUCUUUCUUUCUUUUCAUCUCGUAUGUUUUUAGAUUACCAAUCAACUCAUCCAUGGUCAGAUUCUGUAGAUCUUUAGCUUCUGUGAUGGCAUUUACCUUACUUUCCCAAGACCCAGGUAGAACACUGAGAAUUUUCUUUACAAGCUUGUUUCUAGGAAUGACAUCUCCAAGUGAGUGAAGCUCAUUUAUGAUGGAGGUGAAUCUGGUGUGCAUAUCUUGUAUGAACUCAUCAUCCUUCAUCCUGAAGAGCUCGUAUUUAGUGGUGAGCAUGUCGAUCUUGGAUUGUUUGACUUGAGUGGUUCCUUCGUGUGCAGUUUGUAAGGCUUCCCAUAUUUCCUUGGUAGUAUCACAAGUUGAUACUCUUUUGUACUCAUCAGGUCAUGUGCCACACAUCAAGAUUUUCUUAGCACGAUAGUUCUUUUCUACAGUUUUUCUAUCAAUGUCGUUGUACUCUCUUCUCCCUUUUGGGCAUCAAUGGUCAUGUUUCUUUAAGUUUCUUCAUGGGAACAUGUGGACCAUCACAAAUGAUGUCCCACAGUUCUGAAUAUUCAGCCAUUAUGAAGGCAUGCAUCCGAGUCUUCCACCAUCCGUAGUAUUGAUCAUUGAAUCUGGGAGGUCUAUAGGUUGAUUGUUCUUCUUCAAAGCUUGGUGGAGCAGCCAUUUAAGGAUCCUUCCUAGGUGUUAGCCUAAUAGGAGGAACCUGCUCUGUUACCAAUUAAUAACCUAUAUGAGUCCACCAAACUAUGGAGUACCUGGUCCCGUAUGAGGCUGAUACGUAGAAAGCAGUAAAGACUGAAUGUAAAGAAGGCAAGAGAUUUUCUACGUGGAAAAAUCCCACACAAGGGGAUCAAAAAACCACGACCUACUCUUGUAGGCUUUUAACUCAACUAACUUGUAAUCUACCUAUUACAAGCCACUUUGCAAUACUUUCGAUUGCAAAGGCUUCAAACUAACUUGUGAUGCAACCACCACAAGCCACUCUCUAACUCUCCUAGUUACAGAGGAUUUGACUUAUGACUAUUCCUAGUCACAACAUAAACUCUAAAGUUUACAAAUUUGGUUUGUUCCUAAAGCAUUGCUUUUAAGAAAGCAAACUAGGAAUUACAAUGUAAAACAAUUAACAAGAUUACAACUCAACUAUGGAUGUACAUAAGACUCGUUUAAAAACUGAUCCUUAGUGGAGUUAUCUUCUUGUUCUUGACACACUAGUGACUUCAAUGACAAAUGAAUGUUUUUUCUUCUUGAGAGAAUAUCACUGAAUGCACAAAUCCUAGUGUAUCUUGCACCAGGUAGUUUAAUCACAAAAGAUAUCACAAUAGGUAGUGAUGUCAACUCGUGGUUUACUUUUUCCUAGAGAGAAGUGAUUGUUGCACUGUCUGUACAGCCACUACUAGGCAGUUGCGUUCCAGCUGGAUAGUGGACUUUGUACUUUUGUCAGAAGACACCAACGGACCAGGUCCUUGUUGUGUUCUGCUUCUGUAACCGUUGCUAGAUGGUCACUUUCUUCUGUCAUAUUCCAGUUGUGCACUUGACCUAUAUUUCUGUCAGAGAACCUACAGGGAGCAGGUCCCUGUUGUGUUCCUCUUUAUAUUGAUUGCGUAAUAGUCACUUACUUGUUUGUGCUGGAGAACCCUAAGAGACCAGGGCACGCUAGGUCCCUCUUGUUGUUGACUUGUUCAUAUGAGAUGUAUAACAUGUGCGACAAGGUUCUUUAUCUGGUUCUUCAUAAUAAGUUUGUUAGAUCAUCAAAAUAUAAGAAGUAUAAGGCUAAUACAUUAAAAACCCAUCAUAUUUGGUCAGUAUGAUUUUGAUAUGUAUUGAUUGGUAUGGUGGGGCCAUGUCUUGACCUUUAUGAUUUUAUGUACUCUUAGAGGCUUGUAGACAGAUGUCAGGUGUAUGGAUACUUGUAUGGCCUUGUCGGCCUAUGUUUUUAGUUUACAAAUGGUCAUGUCGGCCUUAUAGGCCCGUAUGUCACAUGUAUAAGUUUGUAUAUCAUGUUGGGUCGACAAAUGUUGAGUAUUCCCUUAUGUUUUAUUCUUGUUAUUUCAUGACGGGUUUUCUGGCUCAUUUACCCAUGAUAGUAUGAUAAGAAUGAUAUGUUACGUUGGUACUCGGUUGAGUAAGGCACCGGGUGCCCGUCACGGCCCUUCGGUUUGGGUCGUGAUAAAAGUGGUAUCAGAGCAGUUCUAUCCUAGGGAGUCUACAAGCCAUGUCUAGUAGAGUCUUGUUUAUGUGUGUGUUGUGAACCACACUUAUAAGCAGGAGGCUACAGGGCAUUUAGGUCUGUCACUCUUUCUUCUUACUCUAGAUCGUAUGGUAGAGCUCAAUUGUAAGAAUUCAAACUCCUAAAUUUUAUUUUGUUCGUAAUACAAUGAUACCUACAUCUAGAAAGACAGUUGGUAAGAGAUCGAAUGUGGUUGUGGAAGAGUUGAUCAGAGGAACUCGAUUUUGCAUCAUGCUUAUGAUGAGUAAAUGUGAGGUCUUCAGUAGAUCAUGUGUGUACUAAGACAUGUAAGCUUCUUUAUAAGGAGCCCUAAGGAAUGAAUGUCUAUCUAUCCAUAUGGUAAAAAGCAAUAAGAGAAUCAAAAGGUAGAUACGAGCUUCAACAAGUAAAAGAAGCAAGGUGAAGAAGGAUACGACGUCCCAGUUAAUGAGGAUUAUCAAUGUUUACAAUUCAGGUAGAAAGGUAUAAACAUUUUGAGUUACUUUCAACAGUAACAAAGAUAUAUACAAUUGACCACACCCAUCUCAAUUAUGCCCUAUGGGAGCUAACAUAUAUAGUUUAAGAGAAAAAUGGGAUAUCAGAAUCCAGCUUUGGUUAGAGUAACCCAAAAUGGUGGAUUGAGCUGGGGGAGCCUAAGGUGAAACAAUAUUUUUUUGAAUUUUUUAGAAUAAUGUGACAGACAGAAGUAUUAGUAGGAGAAUAAGAAGAAAGUAAAUAAAGUAAUGAGUAAUGUAUGAUAAAUGGGUGAUAACGGUAAAUCAAACAAUGGUAGGAUGAUAGAGUCUAUGGUCAAGUGAAGGAAAAGACAAGAGAUGACAGGCUUUGAGACUAUAAAAGAAUAUAUGCCAUAAAGUCAUAUCCAUGUUUUGAGAAAUGAGUUGGUGACUCCAACAUGAUUACUAGAAAGCUAAGUUAGACCCCCGGAAUAAUAGAAAUCAACAUAGGCUAGUAAACAAGAAGAAGAAAAAAAUCAAACAUGAUAGGGACCAGAGGAUUCGAUAAUAGUCGACAUCGCGAGAUCAUCAGAGACCAUGUUCCAACAAAAAUAGAAUGGACAACGCAAGAAUAACCUUUAAAGGUUAUUCAGGAAGACUCUUCCCUAAUGUAAGCAAUGUGAGCAAAGUUAUUCUUAAGGGACUAAGUGUGCCAGUUACAUUAGGUGUCACUCUCGCGCGUAAGGAAUUCAGUUAUCCCUAGUAGAGAAGGGUUACCUCAAGGCGAGUAAGAGUUAGUGAAGACGUGAAAAGAAGGCAAAGAUGAAGAGGUAAACCAUAUAUAGGUAAAUCUUCAUAGCAUUAAAUGCUAGUACUCCCCUAAAGGGGGGAAUAUGGUGUGAUACGGUAUUAAGUCGGAGUUAAGCGGUUUAGGUAACUAUAAAAUGGUAAAGGAAGAAUGUGGUAAAAAGGAUAAAGGGAUGAUGUUUUAUUUAUUCAGUUCCUACAAAUAUAUUGCGACUCCAGAACAUUAUACAAGCACGACACCGAGGAGAGGCAGUAAAAGUUUCCAACUAGGAUAUUAUUGAUACUAAGUGUGAAUGAACACUUGAUACAUAAGGAUCCAGUGCAAGAGGUAAGUUAAGACUAAGGAAACAACCCAAGAGAUAUUUUAUAUAUAUAUAUAUAUAUAUAUAUAUAUAUAUAUGAGAAUGGACCAACGAGUAAUUAGUAGUUAAUUCAGGAAGAGCCCAGUUAUGGCUAGACAAGAGUUCACAGAUAAAUCAAUAGAUCAUGCAAGAUAAAUGUAGUGAACCGCAACAUAGUGAAUUUAGUCUCGCAGAUAUAAUGACAUCGUGAUCCUUAAGAAAUAUUUGGAUAGGAUUUGGGGUAGUUAAAAGUACCAAUAUGAGUGUUACAGAGAUAAAAGAAAGUACUAUUAGGGAAAUAGCAAAAUUUCAGUUCAAAAGCAACUCUAUGAGCACAAGGGCGUGAAGGUAGCUAACUAGGGAUAAUAAUAGGCAACUAAGAACAACAAAACAAAAUUCCUUCGGGUAUAUUACGUAAUCAGCUCGCAGCUUUAUAGGAGUCAGAGGAUCUCCCUUAAGUAAUAAAAUGAAAGACUAGCUGAGGAAAAAGGAAGAAGGCUUCAACCUAAGCAUAGUAACUUGAAAAAGAAAUGGUCUUCUAACAAUAGUCUCACUACAAUAUUGUAUACACUCCAUAAGAAAGUGGUACCUAUCGUGGCUAAUGAACGGGAAGUAAAAAUCAAAAGCUAAUAUUUGAGAUCAUAUGAGUUACAAGAAAUUUCAGUAUUCGCGGGUACUAAGAUAAGCCAAGUAUUCAUGCAGCAAGUGGCAAAACGACAAGAAAAAGUAAUUGCAUAUGUUUAAAGGCAACUGAGAAGUCAUGAAAGGAAAUCUAUGGUGCUAGCAAGUUAAAGGAAAGUUGUGAAUAGUAUAAAUAGAUAUAUGUAGGUCGCAAGCUAAAGUAUCGUAGAGUGACAAUGUUUUAGGUAGAUAGGAGUAAGGAUAAGAAAAGACAAGUGAGAAGAUGACAAGAAUAGGUGAGUCCUCGGGAUUAAACCCAUCACAACAAGAGAGUUGAUGGCUUCCGUAACUUAUUCAAAGCUCAGUACAGCCUGAAUGAACUCAGAUGAGUCUAAGACUAGGUGCAUUUAGAAUAGAUGGAAUGUUGUCCUGGUAGUAGAAUAAGGGUGUAAUUGUGAUAAAUGAUAAGAGAAUAACGUUUAGGCAUUUGAUUGAGUAAUGAUUUAAAGAGAAUAGAUUUCAUGAAUUGCACAAGAUUAGAAUACCCCCAUAAGAUGAAUCAAGUUGGGAUGCUAUGAAAUACAGUUAUUGAAGCAUAGUAUCGCCCGUAGGUGGACCGGGCAAAGCACUUUAGAUGUUCCCCGAUGAGACGUGAGCCCCAAUGACAAUGUAUUACACAAGAGGUUUCAAGUUAUGAGCGGUAGAUUAAGAUCAACAUUAAUACGGAUCAAAGAUGGAUGGAUAAAAGUUAAAAAGUAAGAGAGGAGAUUAGGUUGUAAUUCUUAUGAUGAAUAAUAAUGAGGAAGUAUUAAUGGACUUAGAUUUAUACAUACAAAAUAAGCGGUGGGAGAGUAACCUGGAGUUGGGUGGCAGACCUUGGUAAUACUAAACCGAAGUAAGAGUUAUGGUAUAGUAUGACCUACCUAGUUGUAGUAAAGCCAUAACAUAGAUAAUUGAGGCUAUGAAGCAAGAUAUAGCAAAAGUCAUAAGUUUGACUAAGUACCGAGCGAAGAACUUUAGUACACCUAUACAUGCCCAGAGGGACAUCUUGUCAUAGUACUAUAUAUGUUCACAAAGUGAGGCCUGGAGAUUGGAUAAAAGCUGGGGGGGAAAGAAGAGAAGAUUCGCAUAAGCACACAUACAAGGUCAGAAUCGUACAGGCUGCAUGAAAGAAGGUAGAAACAGUUACGAGAUUGGAAGAAAUCCGACCAUAAGUCGUGGUAUGAGAAAGAACCCUAAAUGGGGGAAUACCCUGGCCUUUGGAUUUAUUUAAAGAAUAGUUUCUUAGAUGUCAAGGAUGAUAUUAAAGUAUUCGUAAGAGCUACAUGUUAUGAGACUGAUAAAUGCAUCAGUCAACAUUCGAGGACGAAUGUUCCAAAAAGGGGAAUGAUGUUACAUCUCAUGUUUUCGUACGCGAGAGUACGUCAUAAGCCAAUUUAUGUAAGCUUAGAGAUGAGAUCAAUUUUUAAAGUACAUAAUGUAAGUUCGUCGUGUUAUCUUUGAGAUUACAAAUCUUUAAGAUCAUGAAUAACAAGUUCCAAAAGGGUUGGAAAUCUUAGACGCUAAACGAAUUGAAGAAAAUAAGUUUCGUCGAAAGUCGACAAGUUUAGAAUGUUAUAACAUAUACUUUGGGGGUGAGACUAGGGUGAUUAACAUGAUGAGGAGGUUAAGUUAUGAGUUAUUUUAGUCAUGUGAUAGUCAUGUGUUAUGUUUUUAAGUCAAGCAAGUUGUGGAACAAAAAGUUGGCAAAGGUCAUCACAAGUUGCAUUCAUAAUAUGCUGAAAUUUAGGUCAAAUGUAGCUUCACUUUUUUCCCAAUAUACUUGGAAUCAAGGGAUAAUCUACAUAUAAAUUGAAGAUGUAUGAGUCUAGUUUCUAAAUUAUUAAUUAUCAAUACAACAUAGGAGUAUAGAGAUAUAUGCAUUUUUGUGAGACUGCUUAUUGUUAGGUGACAAGUAGGUGUGUCACCUACUUGGUUAAAUGAGAGCCCAAAAAGAGGCAAUUUCGGGUCAGACAAAAAUCUCAUUUAAGGGAUUAUCUCCUGCAAAAUAAACCUUAUUAUAUAUUACAAAUAACCAGACCUAAACCCCUGCAAACAUCCUCCCAAAAAUUACCUACAAACCCUAAUUGAUUUUCUCUCCCUUUCAAGUUCUAAUUGGGAGUAAAACCUAGAGUUUGCAGAACCAAGAUAAGGGUUGAGUUCUCCAAUAAAUAAGGUACGUUUACUGCUAUCUUUCAUCCAUUUUUUCUGUUGUAGUUUCAUAGUAAGUCAUUCUAUACUUGUAAGAGCUCACUGGACGGUGAUAAGAAGCCGUGAGUUCGAGUUAUUCACUUGUAGCGGGCUAUUUUGUGGACUGUUUUGUGUUGCUGUUGGGCUGCGUGUUUUACUAUUAGUUUGUGGAGUUUUGGAGGAUGUGGAUAAAAACCAUAUAUAUGUAGGGUGGUGAUCUGGUCGUUCGUCAUAACAUUUCCGGGUCAUUUGACACUAGUACGGUGGUCGUUUAUGUAUGAAAAGAUUGGAGUGUAUUGGGCUGUUUUGUAGUAUUUGAUGGUGUAAUAUAAGGCUAAUGUAUAUAUGUUGUUAUUGUGUUGUUGGAGUUAUCUUUAAUUUGGAGGAAGUAAGGAUUAUAGGGGAGAUGUUGCCCGUUUUAUACAAAAUAAGUUUGUCGUCCGUUGUGCGAUAGUUGUAACUUUCAUAACUUGAUGAUAGCAUUAUUAUCAUUGUUUUAGACUAAGGUGCAAAGAGGCGAGUUCAACUUGGUGAUUGGAAAGAUUGUGAUAAGGUAUGUUAAGGCACUUCCUUAUUUCUUUUGGCAUGAUCUAAAGUGAAACGAAUACGUUAUUUCAUAACGGAUCUACUUCUAGCAACUAAGGUUGUCCAUAUGGUUCUUUCCUUAUAAAGUUAUUCUAAGAAAGUGUGUAUGAUCCUUGAAUCUUACUGAGGUUCAUAUUGAGGGUAUGGAUGUCCAUAAUGUUGAUCGAAAGCAUAACGACCUUACGUCAAUCCGAAAGGUUUAGAACGUGAUUUCAUGAGUCCAGCAUACAUUAUAUAUAGUAUCUAUUUUAAUCUACUGAGCCACACUAUAGUCGGCCGGGUACGGAACCUAUUGUGCAACCACUGAUCAGUUAGGUUUACCGAGAUCCACGUGGCCGGGUACGAUUCUACCGAUCCUUAUGAUGGCUGGGUACGUUUUUACCGAGUCCUCUUUGAGUCCGGGUACAAUAUGAUGAUGAUGAUGAUGAUUCCCACAGAGGCAUAUGUGUUUAAAAAUUUUAUGUAUAUAUAUGUAUUAUGCAUUCCAUGUCAAUAACCCCCAGAGGCACUCAGAUGUUACAGGUUGUAUCUCAUCUAUCUCUCUUUAUAUUAUUGUUCUUGUCUAUGUUUUUCUACCUUACAUACUCGGUACUUUAUUCGUACUAACAUUCUUUUUGCCUGGGGAAGUUGCGUUUCAUGCCUGCAUGUCCCGAUUGAUAGAUUAACAAUCCUCCAAGUAGGCUAUCAGCUCAGCGGAAGGUGUUAGUGCACUCCACUUGCUCCGGAAUUGCCUAUUUGGUCAGUAUGCUUUGGAUAUGUAUUGAUUGGUAUGAUGGGGCCCUGUCCUGACCUUUAUAAUUUUAUGUACUCUUAGAGGCUUGUAGACAAAUGUCAGGUGUAUGGAUACUUGUAUGGCCUUGUUGGCCUAUGUUUUGAGUUUACAAAUGGUCAUGUCGGUCUAUAUGUCACAUGUAUAAGUUUGUAUAUCAUGUUGGGUCGUCAUAUGUUGAGUAUUCCUUUAUGUUAUAUUCUUGUUAUCCCAGGUGCUAGAGGUGUAAUGCACUGUGAGACUGCCUGAAGUUGCUGGAGGUGUAACGCACUUGUGAGACUGCAGGAGCGGGUAGAUGGGCGCAGGUGCAGUCCCAAGGCAUUAAGUGGAAACCGCAGAUGCGGUUGGUUAGACCAUAGAAGAGAAAAAAGGACCGCAGGUGCGGAAUCCCUGGGUCAGAAAGUAUAUAAGUUCCCCUUCGCGAAAUUUGGGUUGUUGUCCACCAUUUUAAUCCGGAGUUGAAGCUUCUUGGAGGGUUUUAAAGAGGGAAUCAAAGGGAAUUCCAUUUAGGUGAGUUUUUUGAAUCUAAAACUCGAUCCUAUGUUGAUUUUCAGUUGUUUAAGCAUGAAAUUUAUGAGAUUAGUGGUGAAAAGUUAGGAAGUUAGGGCUUGAAAUUUGAAGGGUAAAAUUGAGGAUUUGAGAGACCAAUUGAGGUCCGAUUUUGAUAUUCUUGGUAUAUAUGGACUCAUGAGAGGAUAAGAAUUCUAUUGAUGUGAUUUUUAUCAGAUUUCGAGUUGUGGGCUCGGGGGUCGGGUUGGACCAAUUUCGGAAUUUUUGAUGUAAUUUGAUUAUUUUUUUCGCAUGGGCUUCGUUCCCUUAGCACAUAUUGAUGUUAUGAUUCUAAUUUUUGGAUAGAUUCGAUGCGAGUUGAGUCCGAGUCGAGAGGCAAGGGCGUCGUAGAGUAGUAUUUUAUCUGGUUGAGGUAAGUAACGAUUGUAAAUCUAGACUGAGGGUAUGAAACCCCAGAAUUUCGUACUGUUUUGAUAAUGGGGUGGCGCACAUGCUAGGUGACGGGUGUGUGGACGUGCACCCAUAGGGAUUGUGACUUGGUCAGUCCCGUGGCGAUUGUAUAGUCGCGUAUUUUAAUAUACUGUAUAUGAUAUCCAUGUGUUUGAGAAAUGAAUUUGUUAACUUGGGAUAAAUGCCAUGUUUGGGGCCUUGUGCCGAACUGUUUAAACUUUUAGGGGUAUUUUACUACUUUCCUCACCAUGUUUGAUUUGAAAGCAUAUCCUCAGUCAUGUUUACCUAUUUAUUGUUUAAUCCGUUUUCAUCACUCUUCUUUUUAAUAUAUGAAAACUGUUUAGGUUGAAUUUCNNNNNNNNNNNNNNNNNNNNNNNNNAUAUAUAUAUAUAUUAUUGAUUGGGCUGCACGUCACAACGAUAUUUAUAUGGGUCGGGUUGCGCGCCGUAGCGAUAUGACGGUUGGGCUGUAGGAGCCCCUAUGGAGUCUGUACACCCCCAGUGAGCGUAGUCGACUAUCUAUUACAGAUUGGGCUACACACCAUAUCGGUUAUUAUUAUUAUUAUUAUUAUUAUUAUGAGAUACCUAUUGAGCCGAAGUGCUGAGUGUGAGUACUGAUUGAUGAGAGGUGAGUGAUGAGUGACUGAGAGGCUUGCCCGAGAGGCUAUACUUAUGAGUGAUACCUUACUCGAGGGGAUUGUUUAUGAUAUUUUUCUGUUUUCACUCUUCUUUAUUACUGAGCCUCUGUUAAAUAAAUGUUUUAAAGGAUUUUUAAUUGAAAAUGAAGUUUUUACGAGAUAAUUGGCUACUAAACUGUAGAUUUCGACUGGAUAUUUCUGUUGAGAUUUCUUGAUAAGUAUGCAUAUGAUUUUAAAUGCUCAUCACCACACUCAGACUUUAUUUACUUUAGUUAUUUACUGAGUUGGUAUACUCACGUUACUCCCUGCACCUUGUGUGCAGAUCUAGGUGUCCGAGCAUCAGAGUGAGAGCUUCCAGCACUCUCAGAGUCUUAUCCGGAGAUCACAAGGUAGUUGCACAGCAUUCGCAGUCGUGUCUUCCUCCUUCCUAUCCUAGUACUUUAUAUUUCAGACUUGUUUUGUAUUGAGCAUACAGUGUUGAGUGUAUUUAGUGGCUCAUAACUAGUGACACCAGAUUCGGGUUGUGUUGAUGUAUUUUCGUACUUAUUCCGCGUAUUUCUUUAAUAUUUUAAAAAUGAAAGUUUUGAGAUUUAAUCUGUUUAGAAAAGUGAAUUUAUAAAUGAUCUCUGUAUUGUUCGUGUUAUUUCUGGCUGGCCUAGUACUGUGAUAGGCGCCAUCAUGACCGGGGUAUUUGGGGUCGUGACAUUUCCUUUAAGGAAAAAAAAGAGCAAUUCCUAGUAGACUAAUAACCAAGUCUUACAUCAAGUCUUACAUGGAAACUUUGAGACAUAAUUUAAAUGGGAGACCCAUCGCGUGAUGGAAUUCUUCAUAGAACGGGUUUUGCUUAGUUGAAUAUGAACUUGAUUAUUAUUUUUAAUUAAGUCCAUACUUCAUACAGAAGGACGCCAUAUUCAUUUCCUAUUAAAGAAGGGAAAUCAAGGCUAGGAAACCCACAGUGCACUAAGUAAUAUUUCUUUUUGAGCUAAAGUUCAUUGAAACUAUUCUCAAGGAAUGUAAAGAAGAAACGUUGAUCCUUGAUCAUUCUCAAGUCCAACCAAGAGAAUGCACGUGAAAUAAGUCUUAAUGGAGUAUUUUCUAAGGGGACAAAAUGAAAAUGAAAAGGGGGUGUUAUUGUUAAUGGUACUUCAAGUCUCGUAUUCAAAUUAAUAAGUCUUAAAGUAUAGGGCAUUUGUAAAUAGUUACAAUUUUACUAAAUUUAAAUCCAUAAGAAAUUGAAUUUACUAUACAUCAAAUAUAUAUUAUUCCAACCAAAUAUUUCGGACUAGUAUAAUUUGGUUAUUUAUUUAAAUCUAAUUAAAUUGAUCUAAAUAUAAUUGAUUUUUUACUAAAUGGAUCGAUCCAUAUAAAAUCCCAAGCCCAGUGGCCCAUGAGAGUUUUCUUGGAGGCUGCUCCACUUUACACCUAUAUGAAGAGGUGAAAGGAGAAUGUUACAAAGACAACAAAUAAGCAGAAGGAACGGCUAAAGAAGCUCUGAAGAAUAUCAUUAAGGUUCCCAUCCACAUCUACAAUAUUCGCUUGUGGUCAAAUCUGAAAUCCGUCAAGUUCAAGAUCAAACUCUCAAGCUCUUGAACUAUCGUUUGUGAGGAGAAGAAUCAUAUGACUACAUCUCUUUAGAUUUGAGAUAUUCUAGAGAUUGUAACCCCACCACUUGAAAUCGAAUGUAAUAUUUGUCGCUAUAUUUCUUGUCUUGAUUAUUAUUUUUCAGGAGCAAAAUUUAGUUGUUACACUAGUUUUUAUAAAAGGUAUGUCUAAAUGUCAAAACGUGUAUUUUAAUUAUUUCUUUGUCAAAAAAAUACCUACGGAUAUCAAUAUUGCUCACAAAUAAGGUUAGAUACAGCAAAACUUGUACUACUUUUUAUUAUUUAUUUUCCAAAUAAAGAAUUAUUAUUAAAGGGAUGUGCACUACAAGAAAAUUGUGAAUUACAUGGGGAUUUUCUUAGGGAUUAUUCAGAAAAAUUCGCAGGUAAUUUAGUUUCCUGUGGAUUUUUCUACGGAAAAAAUUCCGAUGGAAAAACCUUCGUAGUUAAUUAUUACCUGCAGAUUUUAAAAUCCCCAUGUAAUCUACUUGGGAAUUUUGAAUCUGUAUGUAAAUUACCUACGGAUUUUGUCGCAAGAAACACUAAAUAUCCGCAAGAAACUUUUGGUAAAAAAUCAUGAGAAAAAGGAAUUUACGGAUUUUCAUGUAAGGAAUUUUUGGCAAAUGUUUACGAAAAGAUAACUUAAUUUAUUUUUAUUGUUAUGUUUUAAAUUAAUUCCUUCGUUGUCUACUAUUAUUAUUUAUAUUUAUUUAGUGAAGAUAUCAGCCGAUUAAUUUGGUUGUUUUGUUCUUAAUUUAUUUUUUUGUUGCCUUCUAAAUAUCUGAUCUGAAUUAUUAUUAUUACUAGUUUCCGAAUAAAUGUGUGUUUCCGAACUGGAAAACCCAAUGCUUCCUGGACAAUGAAUUUCGUUGACUACGUUUGCUUCUUGGAAGCCAGUCACUAACUCAUAUCUACUGUCUCUAUCCGGUGUGGGAUCCCUAAGCCAUUUCUUUCACAAUUGUUCAAUUCACUAAAUCAAGAUGAAACUUAUAUAUAUAUUUUCAUUUUUUUGAAGAAAGAUAUCGUGAGUAUGAAUUCCAAAAUUCACAAAACAAAAUUUUUGUUCAAGUAUAACCAGGUGGAUUGAAUUAUGAUCGUUUCUUUAAAAAUUUAUUGACUGUUCAAAACUGUAUUGUUUUCUUUCAAGAAAAAGAACAAGAAUACAAUUUUGAAAUUUAGAAGUCUUAAAUAAGAAAAAAACUGAUAAUGAAACAUUUAUAUACCUUGAAUAAAAUCUUUAUGUAAUAAUUUUUCUAAACAGGAAUUAAACACAUUUUACAUAAUUAAGCAAUUGAUAAAAAUUAUUUUGCCAAUUAUAACGCGAACAAAAGAUUUAGUUACUUCAAUAAUAAAAUAACUUCAUACAAUGAUAAUUGUAGCUAAAUAUUUUUCUACUAAAAAGUUAUACUUAAAAUUAUGCAACAACGCCAAAUUAAAUAUAUUUUCUAAUGAUAUUAGCUCAACAAUAGUUGUAUUUAGGAUAAUUAAUUUGUUAUUCAAUUAGUAACUGGUGUCAUUCUUUUGUAAUAUUCGAUCCAAAAAAAAAAAUUACAUUUGUGAUCCUUGUAUGAGAUUAAGUUCUAACUGCAUUUAUUUUUAGAAAAGAAUGAUAAAUAUGUAUGACAUUGCCAUUAACUAAAUAUGAUAAUUUUAUUAUCAAUUUUAUAAAUAUUGUUGCUUUAAUCGUUUUCUUUUCAACACCUUUUUAGAGUCGGAAUAUUACAUAAUAAUUUAUUUGCCUCGAUAAAGGAACUAAAUGUUUAAAAACAACAUUCACUUGUGAUAUCAGUAGCAUUUUUCAAUUAUUAUAAUUUUAAUUUCUCCAAUAUAUUGGGCAUGAGGACGCAGUUUAAUAUUCAGAUAAANNNNNNNNNNNNNNNNNNNNNNNNNNNNNNNNNNNNNNNNNNNNNNNNNNNNNNNNNNNNNNNNNNNNNNNNNNNNNNNNNNNNNNNNNNNNNNNNNNNNNNNNNNNNNNNNNNNNNNNNNNNNNNNNNNNNNNNNNNNNNNNNNNNNNNNNNNNNNNNNNNNNNNNNNNNNNNNNNNNNNNNNNNNNNNNNNNNNNNNNNNNNNNNNNNNNNNNNNNNNNNNNNNNNNNNNNNNNNNNNNNNNNNNNNNNNNNNNNNNNNNNNNNNNNNNNNNNNNNNNNNNNNNNNNNNNNNNNNNNNNNNNNNNNNNNNNNNNNNNNNNNNNNNNNNNNNNNNNNNNNNNNNNNNNNNNNNNNNNNNNNNNNNNNNNNNNNNNNNNNNNNNNNNNNNNNNNNNNNNNNNNNNNNNNNNNNNNNNNNNNNNNNNNNNNNNNNNNNNNNNNNNNNNNNNNNNNNNNNNNNNNNNNNNNNNNNNNNNNNNNNNNNNNNNNNNNNNNNNNNNNNNNNNNNNNNNNNNNNNNNNNNNNNNNNNNNNNNNNNNNNNNNNNNNNNNNNNNNNNNNNNNNNNNNNNNNNNNNNNNNNNNNNNNNNNNNNNNNNNNNNNNNNNNNNNNNNNNNNNNNNNNNNNNNNNNNNNNNNNNNNNNNNNNNNNNNNNNNNNNNNNNNNNNNNNNNNNNNNNNNNNNNNNNNNNNNNNNNNNNNNNNNNNNNNNNNNNNNNNNNNNNNNNNNNNNNNNNNNNNNNNNNNNNNNNNNNNNNNNNNNNNNNNNNNNNNNNNNNNNNNNNNNNNNNNNNNNNNNNNNNNNNNNNNNNNNNNNNNNNNNNNNNNNNNNNNNNNNNNNNNNNNNNNNNAAAUCAGGAACUGAGAAUCAUACUGCAAUACAUGAUAGUGAAAUACUGAAUCACACUGAGUUACAUGAUACUAAAAUACUGAAUAGGACUGACUGGGCCAUGUAUUCUUGAACUAAUUAUGAAUACUAAAACUUCAACCGUUUAUGGCAUACUAAGUAAUUUAUACUAAGACUCAGGGGCAUCAAACCCAAGUCUAUGUUGAAUACGCACUGAGCUCACAACGUUCAGAAUGAAAGUGGUGAACGAGUUAUGAAGCUAGAGAAUAGAAGUUCGACAACUAUUCAAGGAACUAGGUUAAACUAUAUUUCUGAGGCAAUUAGUAACAUCAUAAAAGAAACGUAGUGUAGGGAGAAUCAUUAACAUUCCCAAACAUAGAGAGUUAGCCUCACAUACCUUAACUUCCUGAUCUUGAGCGUAAUACAACAUUCACCAACCCUUUCAACUUUAAUAUAUAUCAAUAAAAGUCAAAGGCAUUCCAUAUUAGCAAUAAUACUCAUGUUUUGGUUACUUAGGCAUUUUCUCAAACACUUGGUAGCAUAAGGCUUCAUAGUCCUUAUUAAUGGUAUUUAUACACUCAAUAACCCAUUUUCUUUCUUCUAGAUAAAUUCUAAAGUCUCAAAUGGUUAUAAUCAAACAUCAUUCUUUAUCACACAUAAGGUAAACAACACCCUUAACCAAUAAUCAACAGUCAACAACCCAAACCUAUAAUCGUUCAUGUUUUUCUAUCAAACCCAUCAACUCAUAUCUCAUGAACUAGAGUCUAUAAUCAUUAAUUCAAUGAUAGAAUCAAUCAGAGGGUGAAGAUAUUACCUUUUUGAAGUUCAAUCCCCUUGAAUUCGAGUUCUAGGGUUCCUUCUCUCAACAAUGAUAUCCCAAUUGAAUAUCUAAUGAUAUGUAGGGUUUACCCAUAUUAAUAAAAUGUUGGGAAAUUGAAAUUAACUUAAAAUCACCAUUAGAACUUACCUUAGGUGGUGGAGGGACCCUUAAGUAGUUAGGUUUUUUAGAGCUUUCCUUUUUAGAGCAAGUUUUUAUGUUUUGGGGCUUUGGGGACGAAAUAGAGCUAAAAGAAUAACUUCCCAAGUCGGCCACUGCAUCCCAGUAGGACUAACCAUGGUCCCGACCAUGGUAAAUAUCUGGAGCACUACCUCACGACCGUGGUCGCGAUCAAACGCGGCAGAACGUGGUGGUUAUGCACUGUUCUAUAAAAUGGGCAUAACCUCUUACACAGAGAUCAGUUUGGGCUCCACAAUAUAUCAUUAAAAUGAUAUUUCAAAGGCCUACAACUUUCAUGCUUUUAGUGUUCCCAAAUUCCUUACACAUUUUUACUAAACUCUGCAGGAAGAUAGACCUUCUGCGAACUUAGUCUAUUUUGUCAAAUCUUAUGCACCUCACUUUCCAUCUUAAUUUUGAAACUACUAUUUUCACCCAUAAUCAUCUCGAUGGGACUUCACAUGUCCAAAAUAUAACCUUACUACUCCUUUAAAUCAUUCAUACCUAAGCCGAAUUUAUGGGGUGUUACAAAAUGUGACUAAACAUACAAGAUUUGGCUACGACCCCCCAAGCCAAGAACCUAAGACUCACAAGGAAGACCAGAUCCUAUGUGGGUUGCCUAUGUAUCACGCCUCGAAAGAUGAGAAUCGGGUAUGCGUAGGUCGAAGAUUGGAUACAAGAGAGAAUUUAACAAAAACACUAAUUUGGAGAAAACAUAUUUUGUCUUUUUUGAAAAAUGAUGAGACAUGUAAAAUCAUUUUAGAUUUUUUUUAUUUUCUUUUUGGAAUAUGAUGGGAAGGUGCAAAAUCUUUUUGAAUUUUUUAUUUUCAUUUUUUUGAUUUUUUUCUUGAAAAGGUUGUGAAAGAAAAACAUAACUGGGCCCUACUUGCUUCAUUUUUAUACUUCACCGUCUUUCCCAAACAUCAAUCUGCCAGAUGACCCUUCUACCCUCAAAGAUGCAACAUGUAUCACAUAGGGAUGAUUGAAUGUCCUUUUGGGCCAUGAGCCCCUUGACACAAUUUGGACAGGCUUCCUAUGAAGGAACAUGGUACCUAGGACCGAGCCCUACUAAGCCACACAAUGAUAUGAUACAAUAAAAAUGACCUAAAGGUUGACCUACGUUUGGGGUUCACUAACAAGGCAAUUCAGGGGAGCGUAUGGUCGAUGGUGGCUGCUCAAGCUUUCCACCCACUCCAUACGUCUGGUGGCCCCCUCCUAAAAUAAGGGUGACUCAACAAAUAGUUCAUAUACGUAACGCGUACUACGUGACUUGUUGCAGAAAUAAGGCCCAUGGUUAUGUAAAUGAUGACAGUAAUAAAGCGGUAAACACAUAAGAAAAAAUGAUAAACAAAUAACCAACAAAAUAGGUAAUAUGACAAACAAACUAAAUAAACAAAGCAAAUAAAGAAAACAAACACCUCAAUCGAAUAUCCUAAAAGUAUCAAGUACCAGCUCGAACCUGCAACUCCCCAGCAGAGUCGCCAGAGUUGUCACACCCUUUUUUCACUUCACUAACCUUCUUUAAAAUAUAUAAAAAUAUUCGUAAAGCUUAAAAGGAUUUUCAAAAUUGAAAGUGACAAAGUAUUGUGUUUCAAAAGAAUUUUUUCAGAGUCGCCACCUGACAUGUGAUUUCGGCAUGCCAGGUCACCGUUUCUUAAGAAAACAAUUUUCCUUUUAAAACAUAUUUGACUCUAAAACUAAUUACACCAGAGGUUCUAGAAAAAGGGGUUAAUUUGACUCGGGGAGAAUGUGUUAAGCAUUCUCCGAGUGUCGUAACUAGUAUGGUUGCGUACAUGAGCAAGUUAGUUUUAAAGAGUAUUCAAAUUGAGGUUAAACACAUGAAAGCAGAAAUAAACAUAAAAGGUUCGAGGUCGUCCCCACCUAAUAAAAUAAAAUAAGUCUUACUAUCCUAUUUUAUGCCUCCUACCAUUCAUUUCGGGGCAUACCCCUAAAUAAAAAUAUAUACAGAAUCUACGGGGCAUUCCCCUGAAUAUAACUAAAGGGAAUGACCGCUCACCUCGAAUCAAACGAAAGUCCUAAAGAUUGCCUACCCAAGUUACGGCAUAAAUAUUCUCCUAGCGAUCAAAUUAAUGAAGAAACUUUUUUGCUUUUAAUUCCCGAACCCACGACCCACUGUUUCCUCUAACUAAACUUACAUGUCACCAGAAUUAUGGUAUUUCCAAACAAUUAAUUUUUAAUUCUUCAAAUAAGCAGGACAAUUAAAUAAAAUAGUCAGCUAACUUCUUUGAUCCGAGAAACAUCAAUUUGUUAAAACUACAAGAGCAACACAAAGGCAAACAUACAUCUCAGUCAAAUACCAGCAAGAACACAAUUUAGAAAUUUAAUGACGAAUAAGAGUUUAGAAUUGGACCUUUAUAUGGCUGUAAAUUGAUUUGUUUCACUGCUUUGAACUCGAAAAUGUAGCGGACCACAGACAAAAUCUCGAAUCAGCACCGCAAACCUCAAACUAAACCAAACAUCUCCACGGUAAUUCAAUCCGCAACAAAACCAUUUUCAUUUCUAUUUUUCAUAACCAACAAUUUUGAAGUCUACGGCAACAAAGGAAUCUAUAUCCCUUUUCUAUGAAUUGAUCUUCAUCACCUUCUGCUACGUUAAUCUCCAAAUCCUCUGUUAAGACCUUUUCCCUUGUUCGUUCCCAUAUCUAUCUGUGUGUGUGUUUCGUUCCCCACUAUUUCACUUUCGUUCCCUCUUUUUCUCGACUGAAAGUCUGCUGAUUUGGGGCUUUUUGUGAUCUGGAAUUUUUAUCAACUAUAUGUUGCACCGGAAAAUGCAUAGACCGAUAUGGGUAGUUGAUUUUUUUGUGUAGGGGUGGGGGUGGCUGGCGGCUCCUUUUUGUGUAAGAGAGUUAGGUUGGUUGGCUGAUGGUUGUUUUUUGAGAGGUUGGGGUGAGUAGCUGAUCUAGGUUAGUAAAAUUAGGUCUUUCUCUUUUUUCGGAAGUGGGGGUAUAG
This 35297-nucleotide long non-coding RNA is filed under the name Nicotiana tabacum (common tobacco). Its description in RNAcentral is "long non-coding RNA (NTAB_LNC008746)". Lineage: Eukaryota; Viridiplantae; Streptophyta; Magnoliopsida; Solanales; Solanaceae. The record is from RNAcentral.